GUCGUUGGGUACAUCGCCCGACCACUCUAUGAAACCGGGUCAUUCCCGACCGAAGUUCGUCCAAAGGCAAGGCACCUUUCGACGGACCCCGGUCAGCAAUGACCCGGUUUUAUAGAAUGGUCUGGCGACGUACCAACGAA
Molecule: microRNA precursor, 140 nt
Filed under: Ectocarpus siliculosus
Lineage: Eukaryota; Phaeophyceae; Ectocarpales; Ectocarpaceae
Description: miR3450 stem-loop (esi-MIR3450)
Source: miRBase by way of RNAcentral